RNAcentral lists this ribosomal RNA (404 nucleotides) under uncultured bacterium. Its description in RNAcentral is "bacterial SSU rRNA". It matches the Rfam family "Bacterial small subunit ribosomal RNA", at positions 355 to 776 of the family's 1533-position model. The record is from RNAcentral.
UGGGGAAUAUUGGACAAUGGGCGCAAGCCUGAUCCAGCCAUGCCGCGUGAGUGAAGAAGGCCCUAGGGUCGUAAAGCUCUUUCGCCUGUGAUGAUAAUGACAGUAGCAGGUAUAGAAACCCCGGCUAACUCCGUGCCAGCAGCCGCGGUAAUACGAAGGGGGCGAGCGUUGUUCGGAAUUACUGGGCGUAAAGGGCGCGUAGGCGGCUCUUUAAGUUAGGCGUGAAAGCCCCGGGCUCAACCUGGGAACUGCGCUUAAGACUGGAGAGCUAGAAAACGGAAGAGGGUAGUGGAAUUCCCAGUGUAGAGGUGAAAUUCGUAGAUAUUAGAAAGAAUACCAAUUGCGAAGGCAGCUUUCUGGAUCAUUACUGACGCUGAGGAACGAAAGCAUGGGUAGCGAAGAGG